This 253-nucleotide ribosomal RNA is filed under the name uncultured bacterium. RNAcentral describes it as "partial 16S ribosomal RNA". It matches the Rfam family "Bacterial small subunit ribosomal RNA", at positions 524 to 776 of the family's 1533-position model. The record is from RNAcentral.
GACAGAGGGUGCGAACGUUGCUCGGAAUCACUGGGCGUAAAGCGCGUGUAGGCGGCACUGCACGUCGGGUGUGAAAGCCCGGGGCUCAACCCCGGCAGUGCACCCGAAACGACGGUGCUAGAGUUUUGGAGAGGCGGAUGGAAUUCCCGGUGUAGAGGUGAAAUGCGCAGAUAUCAGGAAGAACACCAAUGGCGAAGGCAGCUCUCUGGGACGGUACUGACGCUGAGACGCGAAAGCGUGGGGAGCGAACAGG